Molecule: long non-coding RNA, 853 nt
Filed under: Arabidopsis thaliana (thale cress)
Lineage: Eukaryota; Viridiplantae; Streptophyta; Magnoliopsida; Brassicales; Brassicaceae
Description: long non-coding RNA (ATHA_LNC000678)
Source: RNAcentral
UAUUUCACAUACAAUUUAAUUUCUAAACAUGGUGGCAUUCUCCGUAAUAAGAUCAGGAAACCAAGGGCAAACCCACAACACGUCAGCUAUAUAUCACUAGGCUAAGUCCCUUACCUCUCCACAACACAACUUCAGCUUUAAGACAGCUAAAACUAAAUACAAAGAAACAGAGAUGGGUUUGGUUACAGAGGAGGUGAGAGCUAAGGCAGAGAUGUACACCGGAGAUGAGAUAUGUAGAGAGAAGACAAAGUGUUUCCUCAAGGAAAUAUCUAUGCCCAAUGGUUUAUUACCAUUGAAGGAUAUAGAAGAGGUUGGGUAUGACAGAGAGUCAGGUGUUGUAUGGCUGAAGCAGAAGAAGAGCAUCACUCACAAGUUCACAGAGAUAGAUAAGCUUGUCUCCUAUGGAACCGAAGUCACAGCCAUUGUUGAGACCGGGAAAAUCAAGAAGCUCACUGGAGUCAAAGCCAAGGAACUUCUUAUUUGGGUCACUAUCAAUGAGAUCUAUACCGAGGAACCCCCUACCAAGAUCACGUUCAAGACACCGACCACACUGUCCAGGACUUUCCCGGUCACAGCUUUUAUAGUCCCAGAAGAACCUGCCAAGGAGGAACCUGCCAAAGAGGAACCUGCCAAGGAGAAGAGCAGCGAAGCCACCGAGGCCAAGGAGGCUGUUGCAAUCAAGGAGGCUGUCGCAGUCAAAGAGGCGGCCUAAUCAGCUCAGCUUCAGCAGAUAAAAGAGACCCGAAUUUUUAAGUGUACUUCAAGAAUUUGAACAAAUCAUGGAGAGUUAGUGUUUCUCACUGCUCUAACUAUCAUGUAUUAUCUACCUACCACUUGUUGCUGCUUGUUUUAC